RNAcentral lists this ribosomal RNA (548 nucleotides) under uncultured bacterium. RNAcentral's name for it is "bacterial SSU rRNA". It matches the Rfam family "Bacterial small subunit ribosomal RNA", at positions 355 to 895 of the family's 1533-position model. The record is from RNAcentral.
UAGGGAAUCUUCGGCAAUGGGGGCAACCCUGACCGAGCAACGCCGCGUGAGUGAAGAAGGUUUUCGGAUCGUAAAGCUCUGUUGUAAGUCAAGAACGAGUGUGAGAGUGGAAAGUUCACACUGUGACGGUAGCUUACCAGAAAGGGACGGCUAACUACGUGCCAGCAGCCGCGGUAAUACGUAGGUCCCGAGCGUUGUCCGGAUUUAUUGGGCGUAAAGCGAGCGCAGGCGGUUUGAUAAGUCUGAAGUUAAAGGCUGUGGCUCAACCAUAGUUCGCUUUGGAAACUGUCAAACUUGAGUGCAGAAGGGGAGAGUGGAAUUCCAUGUGUAGCGGUGAAAUGCGUAGAUAUAUGGAGGAACACCGGUGGCGAAAGCGGCUCUCUGGUCUGUAACUGACGCUGAGGCUCGAAAGCGUGGGGAGCGAACAGGAUUAGAUACCCUGGUAGUCCACGCCGUNNCGAUGAGUGCUAGGUGUUGGAUCCUUUCCGGGAUUCAGUGCCGCAGCUAACGCAUUNANCACUCCGCCUGGGGAGUACGACCGCAAGGNU